GAGAGGUCCAGAAGACCUGCUAACUCUUUAAUUUUGUAAA
Molecule: transfer RNA, 40 nt
Filed under: Crotalus intermedius gloydi
Lineage: Eukaryota; Metazoa; Chordata; Lepidosauria; Squamata; Viperidae
Description: partial tRNA-Ser
Source: RNAcentral